GGGGGCGACAGGCUUCGACAGAGGCUUGUACAGAUCUUUGGAUGCACGUCGGGCGAUCUUUCUGUAGCUCGUUAACAAUUCCGAAAGAAACACAGAUGCCAACCAAGAAUUGGCUCUCGCUGCCUAACAUUAGUUAGCUACAGCGAUGUCCGCCGGCAAGUUUGCUUAAUGCGCGCCGACCGGAUAUGACACAGUUUAAGCUAGCUCGCAUCGACCGCCUGCGGAUGCGAGCGAAACUUUCGCCAGGCUGGUCGCAAGUGAGGUCUUGUUGCUUCACAUACUCAUUUGCGGCGAGAAACGAGUGAAGCGACUAAGCGUGUAGAUUCCACUGAUCGCAACCUUUGGAUGCGGGUUCGAUUCCCGCCGCCUCCACCA
This 375-nucleotide transfer-messenger RNA is filed under the name Acidobacteriota bacterium. RNAcentral's name for it is "Acidobacteria bacterium transfer-messenger RNA". It matches the Rfam family "transfer-messenger RNA". Rfam says of the family: Bacterial tmRNA, also known as 10Sa RNA or SsrA, is named for its dual tRNA and mRNA-like properties. Its role is to liberate the mRNA from a stalled ribosome. To accomplish this part of the tmRNA is used as a reading frame that ends in a translation stop signal. RNAcentral also lists the same sequence under 1 other name. The record is from RNAcentral. Lineage: Bacteria; Pseudomonadati; Acidobacteriota.